CCUACGGGUGGCUGCAGUGAGGAAUAUUGCGCAAUGGAGGCAACUCUGACGCAGCCAUGCCGCGUGCAGGAAGAAGGCGCUACGCGUUGUAAACUGCUUUUAUCCGGGAAGAAACCCCAGGACGUGUCCUGGGUUGACGGUACCGGAGGAAUAAGCACCGGCUAACUUCGUGCCAGCAGCCGCGGUAAUACGCAGGGUGCAGGCGUUAUCCGGAUUCAUUGGGUUGAAGGGGUGCGGAGGUGGGGCGGUAGAAAUCCUGCAGCGCAACUGCAGAAUUGCCGUUGAUACUGUCGCUCUUGAGUACGCUUGACGUGGGCGGAAUGUGCCGUGUAGCGGUGAAAUGCUUAGAUAUGGCACAGAACACCGAUAGUGAAGACAGCUCACGAAGGCGAAACUGACACUGAGGCACGAAAGCGUGGGGAUCGAACAGGAUUAGAUACCCCGGUAGUC
Molecule: ribosomal RNA, 450 nt
Filed under: uncultured bacterium
Lineage: Bacteria
Description: partial 16S ribosomal RNA
Rfam family: Bacterial small subunit ribosomal RNA
Source: RNAcentral